AUGUGGCUCUGUGGCGCAAUGGAUAG
This 26-nucleotide non-coding RNA is filed under the name Cricetulus griseus (Chinese hamster). The record is from RNAcentral. Lineage: Eukaryota; Metazoa; Chordata; Mammalia; Rodentia; Cricetidae. RNAcentral also lists the same sequence under 1 other name.